This 468-nucleotide ribosomal RNA is filed under the name uncultured bacterium. RNAcentral describes it as "partial 16S ribosomal RNA". It matches the Rfam family "Bacterial small subunit ribosomal RNA", at positions 28 to 507 of the family's 1533-position model. The record is from RNAcentral.
GACGAACGCUGGCGGCGUGCUUAACACAUGCCAGUCGAACGGAAAGGCCCUGCUUUUGUGGGGUGCUCGAGUGGCGAACGGGUGAGUAACACGUGAGUAACCUGCCCUUGACUUUGGGAUAACUUCAGGAAACUGGGGCUAACACCGGAUAGGAGCUCCUGCUGCAUGGUGGGGGUUGGAAAGUUUCGGCGGUUGGGGAUGGACUCGCGGCUUAUCAGCUUGUUGGUGGAGUAGUGGCUUACCAAGGCUUUGACGGGUAGCCGGCCUGAGAGGGUGACCGGCCACAUUGGGACUGCGAUACGGCCCAGACUCCUACGGGAGGCAGCAGUGGGGAAUAUUGCACAAUGGGCGGAAGCCUGAUGCAGCAACGCCGCGUGCGGGAUGACGGCCUUCGGGUUGUAAACCGCUUUCGCCUGUGACGAAGCGUGAGUGACGGUAAUGGGUAAAGAAGCACCGGCUAACUACGUG